UACGUAGGGUGCGAGCGUUGUCCGGAAUUAUUGGGCGUAAAGGGCUCGUAGGCGGUUUGUCGCGUCGGGAGUGAAAACACCGGGCUUAACUCGGUGCUUGCUUUCGAUACGGGCAGACUAGAGGUAUGCAGGGGAGAACGGAAUUCCUGGUGUAGCGGUGAAAUGCGCAGAUAUCAGGAGGAACACCGGUGGCGAAGGCGGUUCUCUGGGCAUGACCUGACGCUGAGGCACGAAAGCCAGGGGAGCAAACGGG
RNAcentral lists this ribosomal RNA (253 nucleotides) under uncultured bacterium. RNAcentral's name for it is "partial 16S ribosomal RNA". It matches the Rfam family "Bacterial small subunit ribosomal RNA", at positions 524 to 776 of the family's 1533-position model. The record is from RNAcentral.